CAGUUAAAAAGCUCGUAGUUGGAUUUCUGUGGGGACGGAGCGGCCGGCCGCACAUCGCGGUUCGAGCUAGCGCUUUCCCUACAUCCUGCCGCGAACCGUGCUACCAUUAGUUUGGUGGCGCUGGGGAUCGGCUCGAUUACUUUGAGAAAAAUAGAGUGUUCAAAGCAGGCCACACGCCUUGAAUAAGUUAGCAUGGAAUAAUAACUAAGGACUUCGGUUCUAUAUUGUUGGUGUUCGGGACUGAAGUAAUGAUUGAUAGGGACAGUUGGGGCGGUCAGUAUUCCAAAGCGAGAGGUGAAAUUCUUAGACCUUCGGAAGACUAACAGCUGCGAAAGCGUUCCGCAAGGAUGUUCCCUUUGAUCAAGAACGAAAGUUGGGGGAUCGAAGACGAUCAGAUACCGUCGUAGUCUCAACUAUAAACUAUACCAGCUAGGGAUCGGCCAACGUUAUUUUAUACCGACUUGGUCGGCACCUUAUGAGAAAUCAAAGCAUCUGGGUUCCGGGGGGAGUAUGGUCGCAAGGCUGAAACUUAAAGGA
Molecule: ribosomal RNA, 537 nt
Filed under: uncultured marine eukaryote
Lineage: Eukaryota
Description: bacterial SSU rRNA
Rfam family: Eukaryotic small subunit ribosomal RNA
Source: RNAcentral